This 1350-nucleotide long non-coding RNA is filed under the name Oncorhynchus kisutch (coho salmon). Its description in RNAcentral is "lncRNA (ENSOKIG00005013342.1)". Lineage: Eukaryota; Metazoa; Chordata; Actinopteri; Salmoniformes; Salmonidae. The record is from RNAcentral.
AUGACCCAUUGUUCUGUCAACUGUAGGCGAAGCAAAGAACCCAAUACAGGCCUUAAAGCUCAAAGGUUGUGUCCCGAAGUCUCCUGUAGCAGCGGCCGCAAUGGUGGUCUUGGUAGCAGCGUCACAUCGGCAAAGAUUGGCAGAUAUGAAAACAGGUUUUCUUCACAAAGCCACAGCAUGCCUAGAUCACAUAGACCGUCCACUGGCACACAUCAGAAACCUGUGACUGUGGACAAUAUUAAGAAGAGAUCGGUCGACAUGUCCUACAAUCAGCCUGGUUCUCAGUCGAGCAUUAAAAGUGGUUGCAGAAAGAGGGCCUGGAUGUUCAACAGGAGACCGAACAACAGUGAGGAAGUAGACAGUGGCACAUCAGAGGUUACCAUGUCACGGAUACCAAUGAGGAGGCUAACCUACCUAGACUGUCACAAUUCUGUACCCAAACAUGUCGCGGAAAGGGUAUCCUCUCCAGUCAAACAUAGUGUACCUAUCAAACAAAAAAGUACCAGAGUGGCUGGAGUCCAACAAGACCCUGAUACUGAACCAUGUGUAUCUGCUGAGCCAGAGUAUCAGUAUACAGAAGAUGCUGCCUGUUCUGGGACGGUAUGCACUGUGCCUAAUUCCCCCACGACGCAAACCCAGGAGCCAGACUCUGAUGAGACUCAGACCCCAGAAUCUGCUGAGACACAGACCGAGGAGCCAGACUCUGAUGAGACUCAGGCCAAUGAUGUAGUGUCUGCUGAGACUCAGAACCCAGACUCUGAUGAGACUCAGACCAAGGAGCCAGACUUGGAUGAAACUCAGACCAAUGAGGUAGUGUCCGCUCAGACUGUGUCUGCUGCGACUCAGACCCCAGAAUCUGCUGAGACACAGACCGAGGAGCCAGACUCUGAUGAGACUCAGACCAAGGAGCCAGACUCUGAUGAGACUCAGACCAAGGAGGUAGUGUCUGCUGUACCCAAGCCCCAGUCUACAACUGAUCCAUCGUUCCAACAACCUAUUGGUGAAACAUGUGAAAUGUCUCACAAUGUGCCUGAAUGUAGAGUUGACCAUGCAAUUGUAUUAGCUGCGCCUGGGUAUCAAGAUAGGGCUGAUGAAGUUGUCUCUGCGACAGAGCACGUAACCAGGGCCGGGUGUGCUACCUCAAAGGAACCUGAGACUGCCGUGGAUAGCAUCACAGCCAUGUCUGGGUGUGAUACAUCAGAGGAGGUUGCUGCUGCCCUGGAUAGCAUGACAUGUGUCACGGGUACCGAGAGAGUUCCGGAUGAUAUGCUAACCGAUGUGGAAUAUGCAAACGCCUUUCAAGAGUGUGAAGUGUCUCAAUUCUAUGCAUCCCGAGCCGCAUUUCAGUAG